UGACACCAUACAAGUGUUCAUUUGAUACUUAUGAAGAAAUUUCAGCAACAAAAGUGUGGUUGGGAGACAAUGGCAUGGUACAAGUCAUUGGAAUUGGCUCCAUUGUAGUGGAGAUUGUUGUGAAGGACCAAAUGAAGAGGAUCAGAUUGAAAGAAGUCUUACAUGUACCAAAAAUGAAGAAGAACCUCCUUUCGGUGAACAAACUUGUAUCACAU
This 215-nucleotide long non-coding RNA is filed under the name Physcomitrium patens. RNAcentral describes it as "long non-coding RNA (PPAT_LNC013750)". The record is from RNAcentral. Lineage: Eukaryota; Viridiplantae; Streptophyta; Bryopsida; Funariales; Funariaceae.